GACGAACGCUGGCGGCGUGCUUAACACAUGCAAGUCGAACGGAAAGGCCCUGCUUUUGUGGGGUGCUCGAGUGGCGAACGGGUGAGUAACACGUGAGUAACCUGCCCUUGACUUUGGGAUAACUUCAGGAAACUGGGGCUAAUACCGGAUAGGAGCUCCUGCUGCAUGGUGGGGGUUGGAAAGUUUCGGCGGUUGGGGAUGGACUCGCGGCUUAUCAGCUUGUUGGUGGGGUAGUGGCUUACCAAGGCUUUGACGGGUAGCCGGCCUGAGAGGGUGACCGGCCACAUGGGGACUGAGAUACGGCCCAGACGCCUACGGGAGGCAGCAGUGGGGAAUAUUGCACAAUGGGCGGAAGCCUGAUGCAGCAACGCCGCGUGCGGGAUGACGGCCUUCGGGUUGUAAACCGAUUUCGCCUGUGACGAAGCGUGAGUGACGGUAAUGGGUAAAGAAGCACCGGCUAACUACGUG
RNAcentral lists this ribosomal RNA (468 nucleotides) under uncultured bacterium. Its description in RNAcentral is "partial 16S ribosomal RNA". It matches the Rfam family "Bacterial small subunit ribosomal RNA", at positions 28 to 507 of the family's 1533-position model. The record is from RNAcentral.